RNAcentral lists this ribosomal RNA (1100 nucleotides) under uncultured Pseudomonadota bacterium. RNAcentral's name for it is "bacterial SSU rRNA". It matches the Rfam family "Bacterial small subunit ribosomal RNA", at positions 9 to 1101 of the family's 1533-position model. Lineage: Bacteria; Pseudomonadati; Pseudomonadota. The record is from RNAcentral.
GAGUUUGAUUAUGGCUCAGAUUGAACGCUGGCGGAAUGCUUUACACAUGCAAGUCGAGCGGCAGCGCGGUCUUCGGACUGGCGGCGAGCGGCGAACGGGUGAGUAAUACAUCGGAACAUGCCCAGUCGUGGGGGAUAACACUUCGAAAGAAGUGCUAAUACCGCAUACGUCCUGAGGGAGAAAGCGGGGGAUCGCAAGACCUCGCGCGAUUGGAGUGGCCGAUGUCAGAUUAGCUAGUUGGUGGGGUAAAGGCCUACCAAGGCAACGAUCUGUAGCUGGUCUGAGAGGAUGAUCAGCCACACUGGGACUGAGACACGGCCCAGACUCCUACGGGAGGCAGCAGUGGGGAAUUUUGGACAAUGGGGGCAACCCUGAUCCAGCCAUUCCGCGUGAGUGAAGAAGGCCUUCGGGUUGUAAAGCUCUUUCGGCAGGAACGAAACGGCGAGCUCUAACAUAGCUCGCUAAUGACGGUACCUGAAGAAGAAGCACCGGCUAACUACGUGCCAGCAGCCGCGGUAAUACGUAGGGUGCGAGCGUUAAUCGGAAUUACUGGGCGUAAAGCGUGCGCAGGCGGUUGUGUAAGACAGGUGUGAAAUCCCCGGGCUUAACCUGGGAACUGCGCUUGUGACUGCACGGCUAGAGUAUGGCAGAGGGGGGUGGAAUUCCACGUGUAGCAGUGAAAUGCGUAGAGAUGUGGAGGAACACCGAUGGCGAAGGCAGCCCCCUGGGCCAAUACUGACGCUCAUGCACGAAAGCGUGGGGAGCAAACAGGAUUAGAUACCCUGGUAGUCCACGCCCUAAACGAUGUCGACUAGGUGUUCGGUGAGGAGACUCAUUGAGUACCGCAGCUAACGCGUGAAGUCGACCGCCUGGGGAGUACGGUCGCAAGAUUAAAACUCAAAGGAAUUGACGGGGACCCGCACAAGCGGUGGAUGAUGUGGAUUAAUUCGAUGCAACGCGAAAACCUUACCUACCCUUGACAUGUACGGAACCCCCGCUGAGAGGUGGGGGGUGCUCGAAAGAGAGCCGUAACCACAGUGCUGCAUGCUGUCGUCAGCUCGUGUCGUGAGAAUGUUGGGUUAAGUCCGCAACGAGCGCAU